RNAcentral lists this unclassified non-coding RNA (260 nucleotides) under plant metagenome. RNAcentral's name for it is "partial contains small subunit ribosomal RNA, internal transcribed spacer 1, and 5.8S ribosomal RNA". The record is from RNAcentral.
UUUCCGUAGGUGAACCUGCGGAAGGAUCAUUACCGAAUUGUCAAACGGGUUGUUGCUGGUCUUCAAACGGGGACAUGUGCACGCUCUGUUUACACAUCCACUCACACCUGUGCACCCUCCGUAGUUCUAUGGUCUGGGGGACCCUGUCUUCCUGCCGUGGUUCUACGUCUUUACACACACUCUGUAAUAAAGUCUUAUGGAAUGUAUGCCGCAUCUAACGCAAUACAAUACAACUUUCAGCAACGGAUCUCUUGGCUCUC